AGAGUUUGAUCCUGGCUCAGAGUGAACGCUGGCGGCGUGCUUUACACAUGCAAGUCGAACGGUAACAGCAGUACUUGUACUGGCUGACGAGUGGCGAACGGGUGAGUAAUGUAUAGUUAAUUUGCCUCUUGGAGAGGGAUAGCCAUUGGAAACGAUGAUUAAUACCUCAUACUCCUUAUCCAGUAAAUGGAUAAGGGAAAUGCUUUUGUGCCAAGAGAUAAGACUAUAUGGUAUCAGGUAGUUGGUGGGGUAAUAGCCUACCAAGCCGAUGACGCCUAGCUGGUUUGAGAGGAUGAUCAGCCACACUGGAACUGAGACACGGUCCAGACUCCUACGGGAGGCAGCAGUGGGGAAUAUUGCACAAUGGAGGAAACUCUGAUGCAGCAACGCCGCGUGGAUGAUGAAGGCCUUAGGGUCGUAAAAUCCUGUCAGAUGGGAAGAAAUGCAUGGGGGAAUAAUACCUCUUAUGUUUGACGGUACCAUCAAAGGAAGCACCGGCUAACUCCGUGCCAGCAGCCGCGGUAAUACGGAGGGUGCAAACGUUACUCGGAAUCACUGGGCGUAAAGCGCGCGCAGGCGGCUUGAUAAGUUGGAUGUGAAAGCCUACGGCUCAACCGUAGAACUGCAUCCAAAACUGUCAAGCUAGAGUGUGGGAGAGGAAGAUGGAAUUAGUUGUGUAGGGGUAAAAUCCGUAGAGAUAACUAGGAAUACCAAAAGCGAAGGCAAUCUUCUGGAACACUACUGACGCUGAGGCGCGAAAGCGUGGGGAGCAAACAGGAUUAGAUACCCUGGUAGUCCACGCAGUAAACGAUGAAUGUUAGUCGUUGGGUCUCUAGUAGAUUCAGUGAUGCAGUUAACACAUUAAACAUUCCGCCUGGGGAGUACGGUCGCAAGAUUAAAACUCAAAGGAAUAGACGGGGACCCGCACAAGUGGUGGAGCAUGUGGUUUAAUUCGAAGAUACGCGAAGAACCUUACCUAGCCUUGACAUACUAAAGAACACACCAGAGAUGGAGUGGUGCCUUCGGGAGCUUUAAUACAGGUGCUGCACGGCUGUCGUCAGCUCGUGUCGUGAGAUGUUGGGUUAAGUCCCGCAACGAGCGCAACCCUCGUCACUAGUUACUAACGAUUCGGUCGAGGACUCUAGUGAGACUGCCUUCGUAAGGAGGAGGAAGGUGAGGACGACGUCAAGUCAUCAUGGCCCUUACGGCUAGGGCAACACACGUGCUACAAUGGUUAGGACAAUGAGAGGCGAUACUGCGAGGUGGAGCAAAUCUAUAAACCUAAUCUCAGUUCGGAUUGUAGUCUGCAACUCGACUACAUGAAGCUGGAAUCACUAGUAAUCGUAGAUCAGCUAUGCUACGGUGAAUACGUUCCCGGGUCUUGUACUCACCGCCCGUCACACCAUGGGAGUUGAUUUCACCCGAAGCGGGGAAGCUAAACUGGCUACCCUCCACGGUGGAAUUAGCGACUGGGGUGAA
This 1479-nucleotide ribosomal RNA is filed under the name uncultured Sulfurovum sp. Its description in RNAcentral is "bacterial SSU rRNA". It matches the Rfam family "Bacterial small subunit ribosomal RNA". The record is from RNAcentral. Lineage: Bacteria; Pseudomonadati; Campylobacterota; Epsilonproteobacteria; Campylobacterales; Sulfurovaceae.